RNAcentral lists this ribosomal RNA (586 nucleotides) under Halomonas sp. ICS20432. RNAcentral describes it as "bacterial SSU rRNA". It matches the Rfam family "Bacterial small subunit ribosomal RNA", at positions 338 to 916 of the family's 1533-position model. Lineage: Bacteria; Pseudomonadati; Pseudomonadota; Gammaproteobacteria; Oceanospirillales; Halomonadaceae. The record is from RNAcentral.
CCUACGGGAGGCAGCAGUGGGGAAUAUUGGACAAUGGGGGCAACCCUGAUCCAGCCAUGCCGCGUGUGUGAAGAAGGCCCUCGGGUUGUAAAGCACUUUCAGCGAGGAAGAACGCCUAGCGGUUAAUACCCGUUAGGAAAGACAUCACUCGCAGAAGAAGCACCGGCUAACUCCGUGCCAGCAGCCGCGGUAAUACGGAGGGUGCAAGCGUUAAUCGGAAUUACUGGGCGUAAAGCGCGCGUAGGUGGCUUGAUAAGCCGGUUGUGAAAGCCCCGGGCUCAACCUGGGAACGGCAUCCGGAACUGUCAGGCUAGAGUGCAGGAGAGGAAGGUAGAAUUCCCGGUGUAGCGGUGAAAUGCGUAGAGAUCGGGAGGAAUACCAGUGGCGAAGGCGGCCUUCUGGACUGACACUGACACUGAGGUGCGAAAGCGUGGGUAGCAAACAGGAUUAGAUACCCUGGUAGUCCACGCCGUAAACGAUGUCGACCAGCCGUUGGGUGCCUAGAGCACUUUGUGGCGAAGUUAACGCGAUAAGUCGACCGCCUGGGGAGUACGGCCGCAAGGUUAAAACUCAAAUGAAUUGACGG